Molecule: ribosomal RNA, 1221 nt
Filed under: metagenome
Description: bacterial SSU rRNA
Rfam family: Bacterial small subunit ribosomal RNA
Source: RNAcentral
CGAUCUGAGAGGACUACCCCCCACACUGGUACUGAGACACGGACCAGACUCCUACGGGAGGCAGCAGUAAGGAAUAUUGGACAAUGCCCGCAAGGGUGAUCCAGCCAUGCCGCGUGCAGGAAGAAGGCGCUAUGCGUCGUAAACUGCUUUUGCACCAGAGAAAACCCCCCUACGUGUAGGGGGCUGAUAGUAUGGUGAGAAUAAGCAUCGGCUAACUUCGUGCCAGCAGCCGCGGUAAGACGAAGGAUGCAAGCGUUAUCCGGAUUCAUUGGGUUUAAAGGGAGCGUAGGUGGCUUUGUAAGUCAGUGGUGAAAUCUUCUCGCUUAACGAGAAAACUGCCAUUGAUACUGCAGAGCUUGAGUACAGUUGCCGUUGGCGGAAUAUGACAUGUAGUGGUGAAAUACAUAGAGAUGUCAUAGAACACCGAUUGCGAAGGCAGCUAACGAAACUGUAACUGACACUGAGGCUCGAAAGUGCGGGGAUCAAACAGGAUUAGAUACCCUGGUAGUCCGCACUGUAAACGAUGAUUACUCGCUGCUGGAGGGCAACUUUCAGUGGCUUAGCGAAAGCGAUAAGUAAUCCACCUGGGGAGUACGCCGGCAACGGUGAAACUCAAAGGAAUUGACGGGGGCCCGCACAAGCGGAGGAGCAUGUGGUUUAAUUCGAUGAUACGCGAGGAACCUUACCAGGGCUUGAAAGUUAAGGAAUGAUUAUGAAAGUAGUCAGUCAGCAAUGACCUAAAACUAGGUGCUGCAUGGCUGUCGUCAGCUCGUGCCGUGAGGUGUUGGGUUAAGUCCCGCAACGAGCGCAACCCCUACCAUUAGUUGCCAGCAUGUUAUGAUGGGGACUCUAAUGGAACUGCCCGCGCAAGCGGUGAGGAAGGUGGGGAUGACGUCAAGUCAUCACGGCCCUUACGUCCUGGGCUACACACGUGCUACAAUGGCCAUUAUAGAGGGCUGCUACCUGGUAACAGGAUGCAAAUCUUCAAAAAUGGUCUCAGUUCGGAUUGGGGUCUGCAACUCGACCCCAUGAAGCUGGAUUCGCUAGUAAUCGCGCAUCAGCAAUGGCGCGGUGAAUACGUUCCCGGGCCUUGUACACACCGCCCGUCAAGCCAUGAAAGCUGGGAGUAUCUAAAGUCGGUUGCCGUAAGGCGCUGCCUAGGGUAAAACCGGUGAUUGGGGCUAAGUCGUAACAAGGUAGCCGUACCGGAAGGUGCGGCUG